Molecule: ribosomal RNA, 375 nt
Filed under: uncultured microorganism
Description: bacterial SSU rRNA
Rfam family: Archaeal small subunit ribosomal RNA
Source: RNAcentral
GUGCAGCAGGCGAGAAUACUUUACAAUGUGCGAAAGCACGAUAAGGGAACUCUGAGUGCCUCCUAAGGAGGCUGUUCAGGUGUCUAAAAGCACCUGAAGGAAGGGCUGGGUAAGACCGGUGCCAGCCGCCGCGGUAACACCGGCAGCCCAAGUGGUAGCCACGUUUAUUGGGUCUAAAGCGUCCGUAGCCGGCUGGGUAAGUUCCUUGGGAAAUUUGGCUGCUUAACAGUCAAGCUUUCAGGGAAUACUGCCCGGCUUGGGGACCGGGAGAGGUCAGAGGUACUCCAGGGGUAGGGGUGAAAUCCAUUAAAUCCUUGGGGGACCACCGGUAGCGAAGGCGUCUGGACCAGACCGGGUCCGACGGUGAGGGACGAA